UACGUAGGGUGCAAGCGUUGUCCGGAAUUAUUGGGCGUAAGGAGCUCGUAGGCGGUUUGUUGCGUCGGCUGUGAAAUCCCGAGGCUCAACCUCGGGUCUGCAGUCGAUACGAGCAAACUAGAGUGUUGCAGGGGAGACUGGAAUUCCUGGUGUAGCGGUGAAAUGCGCAGAUAUCAGGAGGAACACCCGGUGGGCGAAGGCGGGGUCUCUGGGCAACAACUGACGCUGGAGGAGCGAAAGCGUGGGGAGCGAACAGG
Molecule: ribosomal RNA, 257 nt
Filed under: uncultured bacterium
Lineage: Bacteria
Description: partial 16S ribosomal RNA
Rfam family: Bacterial small subunit ribosomal RNA
Source: RNAcentral